CAGCAGCCGCGGGAAUACGAAGGGGGCUAGCGUUGUUCGGAUUUACUGGGCGUAAAGGGCGCGUAGACGGACUGAUAAGUCAGGGGUGAAAUCCCAAGGCUCAACCUUGGAACUGCCUUUGAUACUGUUUAUCUUGAGUUCGAGAGAGGUAAGUGGAACUGCGAGUGUAGAGGUGAAAUUCGUAGAUAUUCGCAAGAACACCAGUGGCGAAGGCGGCUUACUGGCUCGAAACUGACGCUGAGGCGCGAAAGCGUGGGGAGCAAACAGGAUUAGAUACCCCUGUAGUCCCUGUCUCUUAUAC
Molecule: ribosomal RNA, 301 nt
Filed under: uncultured bacterium
Lineage: Bacteria
Description: partial 16S ribosomal RNA
Rfam family: Bacterial small subunit ribosomal RNA
Source: RNAcentral